AUGUUUGACUUUUACAACUGAUCCUGUGAGAUAUGAAAUUAGUUAACUGUAAUCAUGAGGCCUAAGAGAAUAAUUAACCAACUCAACAGCGGGGGCCAAAUUGUUUUCAGCAGAAGGAGGUGGAUGGUUUUAGUUCAAAAAAUUUUAUGAAAAAGCAAAUCCAUGCUAAACAUCUAACAGCCAGAAAGGUUAGAGUUGAAGUUGUGAACAUGUAUACUUUGACACAUAAACUUCUCUGAGUCUGUGAGGUGUUGAGUCAAAAUUUAGCUUGUUCUUGAACGUGUGCAGCAAACAGAAACUUUCAGUGGUUAAAAAAAAAAAGAAGAAGCUUCCCCUCUGGUAAUUCAGGCACAUCAGAGAGGCUGAGGAGGACACAGAAGAGUAAAGCAGGAGGAAGAUGAGGAGGAAGAGCAGCUGGCCUGGAGUUCAGGAAGAAAGGGGCUCUGGAUGCAGGUUCCUGUUUAUAUCUGUACCUUUACGGAGAAGUGGGAUUGUGGCUUGUUGACCUAAAACAAUUCCCCUCGAGCAGAGAACAGAAGAGCGACAGGAAGACGAGGUCUCGUCUUUGUUUCAUCUCCCAUCUUCUCUGACGGCCAUUAAGCAAGUCACUAUGGUGCAAACCAAACCUGCCUUUGUUACAAGUUUCAUUUAAAACUAUCUUAGUGUGGACGGCAAAAGAGGCAUUUUAAAAGUUGACAAAUAGAUGAAUAUUUUAAGACAGCUUCUCACCUGUUUAAUGCUUCUUCCUUGUCUUGAUUUGGGGCAUUUCUUUCAUUAGAGCAUCCCAAAAAACACAGAACUAACCACAACUUUGAAUGUACACCCCACUACGAGAGAUUCAAACCUACCUUGUCGUCACAUCGUGUCAAACUGGACUACAAAUGCAAAAUUGUGGAAGCUGGUUCUGUCCGAGUUUUCUGAUAUUGUCAGUUCAGCAUGCCCUGUUCUCCUCUACACACCCAUAUAUAUAUCCUGUAUAUAAUCGUUGUUGUAUAUGCUUGUGAAGUAUGCACAUUCAUUGAGCAGGUUUGAAAUCUUUUGGUCAUUCAUCCACUUCAAAGACACGUGCAUGCUUAUAGUACACACACACAAACACACGCAUACAUAUUGUACAGUUCAAAGCAGAGGGGUGUCCAGUCAGUCUGUCCACAUUCAUACAAUCGUGGGAAGCCUGCAGACCCAGUAAACACAAUAAACACCCCCAGAGGUCGCCUUCAAUCGCCUCCCCUUAGACUCAACUCAGGUGGAGAAGCUGAUCACACCCUCCCACGGUAGCCGUGUAGAAAAGAGGAUAAACAAUCCAUCCUCAGGACCCCAGGCGGCUGGGUGGGGGCCAGCAAACAUCCCCUCUCUGUGUCAGGAGGGUUUCAAAGGCAGCUUGAGGCAGUUGGAAGUGGUUUUCAUUUCUCAAACACGUUUCUGCCCUGGUUCAUCAGCGUUUUAGGAAAGAGGUGUGUUUUUAAAGAACAAUGGGGGUUGUUUAAGUUUGCUGAAAAGACUGGGGCCUUAAAUACAAAGCAGAGUCUCCAGUUUCCAGAGACGUUUCUUGCUAAUGC
This is a long non-coding RNA of Oreochromis aureus, 1556 nucleotides long. NCBI's taxonomy places the organism in Eukaryota, Metazoa, Chordata, Actinopteri, Cichliformes, Cichlidae. The record is from Ensembl.